RNAcentral lists this unclassified non-coding RNA (200 nucleotides) under soil metagenome. RNAcentral's name for it is "partial contains internal transcribed spacer 2 and large subunit ribosomal RNA". The record is from RNAcentral.
GGACUUGGGGACUUGCUGGUUCUAAUGCUGAAUUGGCUUCCUUCAAAUGCAUUAGCUGAAGUCUUACAAGCAGCGUAUAUGCGGUGUGAUAAUAUCUUCACUGUAUUGCUCUUGUUGAAAUCAGCUUCUAAUGGUCCUUCAAUUGGACAACGCUUUGACAAUUUGACCUCAAAUCAGGUAGGACUACCCGCUGAACUUAA